RNAcentral lists this long non-coding RNA (1582 nucleotides) under Mus musculus (house mouse). RNAcentral describes it as "predicted gene, 57462". The record is from RNAcentral. Lineage: Eukaryota; Metazoa; Chordata; Mammalia; Rodentia; Muridae.
GGGGGGGGGGGGCUCCAUACAUAGUUGCUGGAUGACACCCAAUGAAAUCUGUCUGGAUUCACUUUUGGGUACCCACUUUAAAGGAAAUAUCUAGUUGUCAAUUUUGUAGAACAAAAAUCAAGGCAGCUCAUGAACCAUAUGUGAAUGCUACAUUUCCUCAGAAUUCUCUCUCGGUCUGCUUCUGGGCUCUUCAGUAGGUUGGAAAAUAUUGAAGAUAGCUUGGUUUGUGCUUGGCUUUCUUUGUCUUACACGCGCGCACACAUUCCACUGAUGUAAUAUCAGACUGAAGGUUCAGUUUUCUUUUUCUCAGAAAUAUUUUUCUUCCUAGCAUAAUCUAAUGACUUUAAGAAUUUAUACAAAAGGAUCAGCAAGCAGUCUUCAACUACCAGUAGUGACGACCCGUGUGUGUGUGUGUGUGUGUGUGUGUGUGUGUGUGUGUGUGAGAGGCCAUCGAUGAGAGUAGAUGACAUUUAAUGGACUGUCUAGGAAGUGAGUAAUGACUCUUUGUUCCCCGUGUGCGGGAUGCCGCUGACUUUGUGGAGGGUAACUACUUUGUUUCUUCCUUCUAUGGUCCUGACAGAUGUAACUUUAACCAUUCAGACCCAGGUCUCUAAAAGUCAGAGAGUAAUUACAUCUGGAGUGAGAGGCUCUACAUUUUUGGGUUUUUAUCAAACUCAAAGUACACACUCUGCUAUUCAACCUAUGGUGUGCAUCUUGCCAGUGUCUAUAGCUGAGCCAGACUGGAUUGUUGUCAAAGAUACAGCUUAUGCUAGGUAUCCUUUUGACAUGAUGCAUGUGGAGUUUGUUUCUUUGUAGUGUUCUGUAUUGGCUAACACUAAAGAAUCCCAUCAUAAACUGAGUGCUUUUGUAAUAGAGACACCUCCUCCAAGAGUCUGUGCUUUGAUUAUCAUUUACUUCAAACUUGAGAGCAUACUAGGAGAUCUUUGAUUAUCCAAGAUCUUUAUCUCCCAUUAAGAAAAGUCAGUAAUGUUUUUGCAGAAUUACAUACUUGAGUGUGUCUUGAGUAUAACACAUUUAUUUCUCUUCAUACAGGAAACCACUAAUGAACUGACUGAGUCGGGUCUUAUCAAUAGAUGAAUCGGGUCUUAUUAAUUGACUAGUUCUAUCUUUUCUUUUCUUUUUUUUUUUCCUGCCACUGUUGGGGUGUGACAGAGAAGGCAGCAGUGGCUAGAACAUGUCAUUUUGCAACAACAUAUGGAGAACAAUAUGGUGUCCCAGCAUGGCUGAUUAAAAAUAGAGCAGUCUAAGGUCACUGACUUGAGCCUGUGAAACACCCAGACCUCCCGGGCUGUUAGUAGCAGCCUUAUACAACCCUUAGCCCUGGAGAGAAGUGGCAUGAGCCAGUGUACUUACUGUCUGAUUAGCAGAGAAAAACUGUUGAAAAACAAACAGAUAGCAUCUCUUCAUGCCUUUAAUCCCAGCACUGGGGAGGCAGAUUCAGGUGAAAUCUCUUGAGUUUUAGGCCAACCUGUUCUACAGAGCAAGUUCCAGGAUAGCUAGGGCUAUACAGAGAAACCCUGUCUCAAAAAACCAAAACAGAACAAAACAAAACAAAUCAAAA